RNAcentral lists this unclassified non-coding RNA (351 nucleotides) under Hevea brasiliensis (rubber tree). Lineage: Eukaryota; Viridiplantae; Streptophyta; Magnoliopsida; Malpighiales; Euphorbiaceae. The record is from RNAcentral.
AAUCGUUCAAACUCCAGCUCGGGACUCUAACUCCUCUAUAAUCCAAAUAAUUAUUUUCAACACUUUAAAAAUUAUAAAAAUAUUUUUGAAGGUCAUCUACAUAGUCCUUAUAUUAAUUAAAAUCAUUUUACUUAAUUUUACUAAGUCAGGAAUAUUUUAUAUAUUAAUUAGCUAGUUUAAUCCUAGGUAAAAAAAUCACAUAGCUUGAGUUAGGGACUACUUUUGCAAUUUCUACUACCUGGAAUGCGUUCGGAACGUCUGAAAAUGCUGGAAAUUAUUAUAAACAUGACCCUUUUUUGAGACAACUUGUCGGACACCUAGAUAGGGCCGAAUACUCAGUCUCGAAUCCGG